This 529-nucleotide ribosomal RNA is filed under the name Sarcocystis pilosa. Its description in RNAcentral is "SSU rRNA". It matches the Rfam family "Eukaryotic small subunit ribosomal RNA", at positions 491 to 989 of the family's 1831-position model. Lineage: Eukaryota; Apicomplexa; Conoidasida; Eucoccidiorida; Sarcocystidae. The record is from RNAcentral.
AAUUUUAUUUCUAGUGAUUGGAAUGAUGGGAAUUUAAACCCCUUUCAGAGUAACAAUUGGAGGGCAAGUCUGGUGCCAGCAGCCGCGGUAAUUCCAGCUCCAAUAGCGUAUAUUAAAGUUGUUGCAGUUAAAAAGCUCGUAGUUGGAUGUCUGCUGGAAGCAAUCAGUCCGCCCUAUUUGUAGGGUGUGCACUUGAUGAAUUCUGGCAUCUAUGUCCUAAUGUAAUACGGCGACGGUGUAUAUGGGUUAAUCCUAUAUACCCGUUUUUGUAUAUUAUAUUGGGAUAAUACCGUUACUUUGAGAAAAUUAGAGUGUUUGAAGCAGGCUAAUUGCCUUGAAUACUGCAGCAUGGAAUAACAAUAUAGGAUUUCGGUUCUAUUUUGUUGGUUUCUAGGACUGAAAUAAUGAUUAAUAGGGACAGUUGGGGGCAUUCGUAUUUAACUGUCAGAGGUGAAAUUCUUAGAUUUGUUAAAGACGAACUACUGCGAAAGCAUUUGCCAAAGAUGUUUUCAUUAAUCAAGAACGAAAG